CGCCCCGUCCUAGGGGAGUAGUCUCCCGCGAGCGCCGCACCGGCCUCGCCCGGCACGCGUCAACACACUUGGUCCGCAGACCAUGGCGCGCGCGACCCAAGCCUGCCCAGACAGGCCAAGGGUU
RNAcentral lists this small RNA (124 nucleotides) under Pseudomonas aeruginosa. RNAcentral's name for it is "Manganese sequence". It matches the Rfam family "Manganese Mn2+ riboswitch aptamer (yybP-ykoY)". Rfam says of the family: This RNA was originally discovered in E. coli during a large scale screen and was named SraF. Lineage: Bacteria; Pseudomonadati; Pseudomonadota; Gammaproteobacteria; Pseudomonadales; Pseudomonadaceae. The record is from RNAcentral.